This 340-nucleotide unclassified non-coding RNA is filed under the name uncultured Rhizophydiales. RNAcentral describes it as "sequence contains ITS2". Lineage: Eukaryota; Fungi; Chytridiomycota; Chytridiomycetes; Rhizophydiales. The record is from RNAcentral.
AACGCAUAUUGCACUCUCUUUACGGAGAGUAUGCCUGUUUGAGAAUCUAAAGUAUUUAUUUUCUAAGUUUACUGAGUAAUCGGUUUGCUAAGAGAGAUGUGAGGCUUCUCUAUUCGAGUGCCUUGAAAUUAAUAACUGGUUACGGUGUAGAAAUGUUUGAUUCCCUACAAAGUCGACCAAAAGUAUUUGAAUGAAACUAGCGUUUCUCAUAAUGCCGAGUAGAAGACAGUGGGGGUUAGUUUCUAUAGCGAAGUCGGUCCAUAUACAUAAAGCCUAGACCGUAAAAAGUCUUUGCUUGAACCAUGGUCUCAAAUCAGGUAGGAAUACCCGCUGAACUUAA